GAAAAGGCUUGCGGUGAAUGCCUAGGCACCUUGAGGGCGAGGAAGGGCGUGAUGAAGCGACAGGAAGUACUUCAGGGAGUUGAAAAUAAACGUGAAUCCAGGAGAUUCAAAAUAAAUUAACCCUGGACACUGCAGAUCAAUGGGCAAGCGACAACCUGGCGGUGAACGUCUUUGCCAGCCGAAAGAAAUAAGAAGCGAUUCCCGUGGGCAGCGGGCGAAAUGGGGCGACCUAACCGUGAUAGGGGUUGUGGGAGAGCAAUAAAGCGUCGUGCUGCUGAAAACUGAAAUAGAUGAAGUCGCACCCUAGAUGGCAAGUCAAUGUUAAGCAAUCUUGGCUUAUGCUCUGGCCAAGUAGCAUGGGGGCAUGGGAUCCCGUAACAGAAUCGAAAGAAGACCGCGCAGGACUAAAAUCCUCACGGGUGACCGAUAGCCGAAAUGUGCAUGAGGGAAGGUAAAAAGGGGCCCCAUCAGAAGUGAAAUAGAACAAUGAAACCAUCAACUCCCAAGCAAACCGGUGAGCCUAAGCUCUGACCGCAUGCCUAUUGAAAUAGGCCGGCUCAUAAACCCGGUCUUUUAAUUAGAACCCGCCGGGCCAUGGCGAGAAACCCCAGUCUUCAUCAAAAGGCAAUUGCUUUAUGGAACAAUGAGUGAUCUAUCUAUGAUAGGGAUGGAAACAAGGUGAAACUAGGGUGGGGUCCGAGACAGGCGUUGUUGAAAAAUCGGCCGGACCUGAGGUUGGUUUAAGGGGUGGAAAUCCCGCUCGGACCCAAAUUCAGCUGGUUUCUCCCCGAAAAUACGUUGAGGCGCGCAGUUGACCCUGGGCAUCUGAGGGGUAAAACUGUUUCGGUGCGGGCCCAUGAGAGCAGUACAAAAUCCCAGUGAAACUCUAGAUAUAAAUGCCAGCCUCAAAAUGCUUCCAGGGUCAAGUCAUCCCAGUGAGACAGUAGGAAUAAACCUGUCAUCAGGAGAGCAAGCCAGAUCUACUGACUAAAACCCCUAAAUGACCACUCAGUGAAGUACUAGAGUGGGCAACCAGGAGGUUGCCUAGAAGCAGCCACAUAUGCAGAAAGAGUGCAUGUGGCUCUCCACUGAUCAAGCAGCAUCUGCAUAGAUGAACAGGAAUACGUGGCAGAUCUACCCGAAGCUGUGGAUAUAAAUGCAUCAGUAGAGGCAUUCCAUAUAGAAACAACCUGAGGCAGUGGACAGAGACAGGAGGCAGAUGUCAACUGAAGUAAGCACAGAGCAUUGGUGAGAUCCAAUGCCCCGAAACCAAAGGGUUCCUCCAAGGGUCGUCCAGGAGAAUUGGAGUCAAGGGCCCUAGAUCCAAGGCUGAGAGAAGGAGGCAUAGUCAGUGGGCAACAAUUAGAUAUUCCUGCUACCCUUGUUGGUCCCGAGGGACGGAGGAGGCUUCGUUUAGCCGAAGAUGGUUAUCGGUUCAAGACACCAAGGUGUCCCUGUUUUCGGUGAAGGGGUAGAGAAAAUGCCCCGAGCCAAUGUUCCGAGUACCAGGGCGCUACGGCUGCCAGCAACCAUGCUAUACUCCUGCAGGAAAGCCAGAACGACUGGCCUUAAAAGGGUACCCACCCGAAACCGACCUGGUGGUAGAGAAUACCUUCCAGGGGCGCGAGACAACUCUCUCUAAAGAACUCCUUGCAAAUAGCCCCGUAACUUCCGGGAGAAGGUGCCUCCUCACAAAGGGUCGCAGUGACCAGCCCGGCGACUGUUUACCAAAACAGGGUCUCCGCCGAAGUCAACAUUCCAUGUAGCUGAGGCCUGACGCCUGCCCAGUGCCGGAGGGUCAAGGAAGUUGGUGACCUGAUGACAGGGGACCGGCGACCAGAAGCCCGUGAACGGCCCGUAACUAUAACGGUCCUAAAAUUGGAAAUUCCUUGUCCGGGUAAGUUCAAGCCCGCACGAAAGGCAUAACGAUCUGGGCACUGUCUCUGGAGAAAACAGUGAAAUAGACAUGUCUGUGAAGAUGCGGACCUGCACCUGGACAGAAGACCCUAUGAAGCUUCUAUUCCUGGGAUUGGCUUUGGGCUUUUCCUGCGCAGCAAGGUGGAAGGCGAAGAGGCCCUCCCUUCCGGGGGGCCCGAGCCAUCAGUGGUCUCACUCUGGAAGAGCUAAAUUCUAACCUUGUGUCAGGACUGGGCCAAGGGACGAUCCAGCAGUUUCACUAUGGGGCGUGGAAGCCCUCCAAAAAUAACAGGCGUGCAAAGUUUCCCUCGGGCCGGACGGAGAUUGGCCCUCGAGGGUGCAAAGGCAGAAAGGGAGCUUGACUGCAAGACCCACCCGUCGAGCAGGGACGAAGAGAUCCUUAGGUGAUCCGACGGUGCCAGUGGAAGGACCGUCGCUCAACGGAUAAAGUUAUCUGGAUAACAAGGCUGAUCUUCCCCAGAGCUCCACAUCGACCCCGGAAGGUUUGGCACCUCGAUGUCGGCUCUUCGCCACCUGGGGUGUGCAUAGCCUGUUCCAAAGGUUGGGCUGUUCGCCCAUUAAAACCGUAGGCCGUGAGCUGGGUUCAGAACGUCGUGGGUUCGGGUUUCCAUAUCGGUGUGGGCGUUAGAGCAGAGGACCCUUUCCCUAGUACGAGGGACCGGGAAGGACGCACCUCUGGUGUACCAGUUAUCGUGCCCGGUAAACGCUGGGUAGCCAAGUGCCGGAGCGGAUAACUGCUGAAAGCAUCUAGAGUAUUAAGCCCACCCCAAGAUGAGUGCUCUCCUUCCCGACCCCCAGGCCUCCGGUAGCACAGCCGAGACAGCAACGGGUUCUCCGCCCUGCGGUGAUGGACAGAGUUUUGAAAUUCAAGAAGGUCACGGCGAGACGAGCCGUUUUAUCAUUACGAUAGGUGUCCAGAAGUGGAAGUGCAGUGAUGUAUGCAGCUGGGCAUCCUAACAGACCGGUAGACUUGAAC
RNAcentral lists this ribosomal RNA (2914 nucleotides) under Brassica oleracea (wild cabbage). RNAcentral's name for it is "bacterial LSU rRNA". It matches the Rfam family "Bacterial large subunit ribosomal RNA". The record is from RNAcentral. Lineage: Eukaryota; Viridiplantae; Streptophyta; Magnoliopsida; Brassicales; Brassicaceae.